RNAcentral lists this long non-coding RNA (219 nucleotides) under Elaeis guineensis (African oil palm). Its description in RNAcentral is "long non-coding RNA (EGUI_LNC078391)". The record is from RNAcentral. Lineage: Eukaryota; Viridiplantae; Streptophyta; Magnoliopsida; Arecales; Arecaceae.
UAUAGCUCAGUCAAUCCUAGUGCAUUCAUGGAUAGGUUCUUAACUAAUUAUUUUAUCAAAAUAAAUUUUAAUAAUUAUAUUUUGCCUCAGGCAUCUCUUUAGUAGAUGUGUAGCACCUUCACUGAAAAUCUUUGUUAAGUUUGAUCAUUAACAUGACAACACCAAGUGCAUCCAACAAAUAAAUAUCCAGAUCUGAGUGUGGCUCAGCUAAUCUGACCA